RNAcentral lists this ribosomal RNA (253 nucleotides) under uncultured bacterium. Its description in RNAcentral is "partial 16S ribosomal RNA". It matches the Rfam family "Bacterial small subunit ribosomal RNA", at positions 524 to 776 of the family's 1533-position model. The record is from RNAcentral.
GACGAACCGAGCGAACGUUAUUCGGAAUAACUGGGCUUAAAGGGCGCGUAGGCGGGCGAUCAAGUCAGGGGUGAAAGCCCCCAGCUCAACUGGGGAAGUGCCUCUGAUACUGGUCGUCUCGAGGGAGAUAGGGGCGUGCGGAACUUCCGGUGGAGCGGUGAAAUGCGUAGAUAUCGGAAGGAACACCGGUGGCGAAAGCGGCGCGCUGGACCUCUUCUGACGCUGAGGCGCGAAAGCCAGGGGAGCAAACGGG